This 1498-nucleotide ribosomal RNA is filed under the name uncultured bacterium. RNAcentral's name for it is "16S ribosomal RNA". It matches the Rfam family "Bacterial small subunit ribosomal RNA". The record is from RNAcentral.
GAUGAACGCUGGCGGCGUGCCUAAUACAUGCAAGUCGAGCGAACAGACGAGGAGUUUGCUCCUUUGACGUUAGCGGCGGACGGGUGAGUAACACGUGGGUAACCUACCUAUAAGACUGGGAUAACUUCGGGAAACCGGAGCUAAUACCGGAUAAUAUUUCGAACCGCAUGGUUCGAUAGUGAAAGAUGGCUUUGCUAUCACUUAUAGAUGGACCUGCGCCGUAUUAGCUAGUUGGUAAGGUAACGGCUUACCAAGGCAACGAUACGUAGCCGACCUGAGAGGGUGAUCGGCCACACUGGAACUGAGACACGGUCCAGACUCCUACGGGAGGCAGCAGUAGGGAAUCUUCCGCAAUGGGCGAAAGCCUGACGGAGCAACGCCGCGUGAGUGAUGAAGGUCUUCGGAUCGUAAAACUCUGUUAUUAGGGAAGAACAAACGUGUAAGUAACUGUGCACGUCUUGACGGUACCUAAUCAGAAAGCCACGGCUAACUACGUGCCAGCAGCCGCGGUAAUACGUAGGUGGCAAGCGUUAUCCGGAAUUAUUGGGCGUAAAGCGCGCGUAGGCGGUUUUUUAAGUCUGAUGUGAAAGCCCACGGCUCAACCGUGGAGGGUCAUUGGAAACUGGAAAACUUGAGUGCAGAAGAGGAAAGUGGAAUUCCAUGUGUAGCGGUGAAAUGCGCAGAGAUAUGGAGGAACACCAGUGGCGAAGGCGACUUUCUGGUCUGUAACUGACGCUGAUGUGCGAAAGCGUGGGAAUCAAACAGGAUUAGAUACCCUGGUAGUCCACGCCGUAAACGAUGAGUGCUAAGUGUUAGGGGGUUUCCGCCCCUUAGUGCUGCAGCUAACGCAUUAAGCACUCCGCCUGGGGAGUACGACCGCAAGGUUGAAACUCAAAGGAAUUGACGGGGACCCGUACAAGCGGUGGAGCAUGUGGUUUAAUUCGAAGCAACGCGAAGAACCUUACCAAAUCUUGACAUCCUUUGACCCUUCUAGAGAUAGAAGUUUCCCCUUCGGGGGACAAAGUGACAGGUGGUGCAUGGUUGUCGUCAGCUCGUGUCGUGAGAUGUUGGGUUAAGUCCCGCAACGAGCGCAACCCUUAAGCUUAGUUGCCAUCAUUAAGUUGGGCACUCUAAGUUGACUGCCGGUGACAAACCGGAGGAAGGUGGGGAUGACGUCAAAUCAUCAUGCCCCUUAUGAUUUGGGCUACACACGUGCUACAAUGGACAAUACAAAGGGCAGCGAAACCGCGAGGUCAAGCAAAUCCCAUAAAGUUGUUCUCAGUUCGGAUUGUAGUCUGCAACUCGACUACAUGAAGCUGGAAUCGCUAGUAAUCGUAGAUCACCAUGCUACGGUGAAUACGUUCCCGGGUCUUGUACACACCGCCCGUCACACCACGAGAGUUUGUAACACCCGAAGCCGGUGGAGUAACCAUUUGGAGCUAGCCGUCGAAGGUGGGACAAAUGAUUGGGGUGAAGUCGUGACAAGGUAGCCGUAUCG